RNAcentral lists this ribosomal RNA (2880 nucleotides) under Burkholderia cenocepacia. RNAcentral describes it as "bacterial LSU rRNA". It matches the Rfam family "Bacterial large subunit ribosomal RNA". Lineage: Bacteria; Pseudomonadati; Pseudomonadota; Betaproteobacteria; Burkholderiales; Burkholderiaceae. The record is from RNAcentral.
UCAAGCGAACAAGUGCAUGUGGUGGAUGCCUUGGCGAUCACAGGCGAUGAAGGACGCGGUAGCCUGCGAAAAGCUACGGGGAGCUGGCAAACAAGCUUUGAUCCGUAGAUGUCCGAAUGGGGAAACCCGGCCCUUUUGGGUCAUCCUGGACUGAAUACAUAGGUCCAGUGAAGCGAACGCGGUGAACUGAAACAUCUAAGUAACCGCAGGAAAAGAAAUCAACCGAGAUUCCCAAAGUAGUGGCGAGCGAAAUGGGAUGAGCCUUGCACUCUUUAUUUGUAUUGUUAGCCGAACGCUCUGGAAAGUGCGGCCAUAGCAGGUGAUAGCCCUGUAGGCGAAAACAGUAUGAAAGAACUAGGUGUGCGACAAGUAGGGCGGGACACGUGAAAUCCUGUCUGAAGAUGGGGGGACCAUCCUCCAAGGCUAAAUACUCGUGAUCGACCGAUAGUGAACCAGUACCGUGAGGGAAAGGCGAAAAGAACCCCGGGAGGGGAGUGAAAUAGAUCCUGAAACCGCAUGCAUACAAACAGUCGGAGCCUCGUAAGGGGUGACGGCGUACCUUUUGUAUAAUGGGUCAGCGACUUACGUUCAGUAGCAAGCUUAACCGUAUAGGGCAGGCGUAGCGAAAGCGAGUCCGAAUAGGGCGUUCAGUUGCUGGGCGUAGACCCGAAACCAGGUGAUCUAUCCAUGGCCAGGAUGAAGGUGCGGUAACACGUACUGGAGGUCCGAACCCACUAACGUUGAAAAGUUAGGGGAUGAGCUGUGGAUAGGGGUGAAAGGCUAAACAAACCUGGAAAUAGCUGGUUCUCUCCGAAAACUAUUUAGGUAGUGCCUCGUGUCUCACCUUCGGGGGUAGAGCACUGUCAUGGUUGGGGGGUCUAUUGCAGAUUACCCCGCCAUAGCAAACUCCGAAUACCGAAGAGUGCAAUCACGGGAGACAGACAUCGGGUGCUAACGUCCGGUGUCAAGAGGGAAACAACCCAGACCGCCAGCUAAGGUCCCCAAAUAUAGCUAAGUGGGAAACGAAGUGGGAAGGCUAAAACAGUCAGGAGGUUGGCUUAGAAGCAGCCACCCUUUAAAGAAAGCGUAAUAGCUCACUGAUCGAGUCGUCCUGCGCGGAAGAUGUAACGGGGCUAAGCUAUAUACCGAAGCUGCGGAUGCGUGCUUUGCACGCAUGGUAGGAGAGCGUUCCGUAAGCCUGCGAAGGUGCGUUGAAAAGCGUGCUGGAGGUAUCGGAAGUGCGAAUGCUGACAUGAGUAGCGAUAAAGGGGGUGAAAGGCCCCCUCGCCGUAAGCCCAAGGUUUCCUACGCAACGUUCAUCGGCGUAGGGUGAGUCGGCCCCUAAGGCGAGGCAGAAAUGCGUAGCUGAUGGGAAGCAGGUCAAUAUUCCUGCACCAUUGUUAGAUGCGAUGGGGGGACGGAUCGCGGAAGGUUGUCCGGGUGUUGGAAGUCCCGGUCGCUGCAUUGGAGAAGGCGCUUAGGCAAAUCCGGGCGCGUAAUUCAAGGGUGUGGCGCGAGCUCCCUAGGGAGCGAAGCAAUUGGAAGUGGUUCCAAGAAAAGCCUCUAAGCUUCAGUCUAACGAUGACCGUACCGCAAACCGACACAGGUGGGCGAGAUGAGUAUUCUAAGGCGCUUGAGAGAACUCGGGAGAAGGAACUCGGCAAAUUGGUACCGUAACUUCGGGAUAAGGUACGCCCUUGUAGCUUGACUGGCCUGCGCCAGGAGGGUGAAGGGGUUGCAAUAAACUGGUGGCUGCGACUGUUUAAUAAAAACACAGCACUCUGCAAACACGAAAGUGGACGUAUAGGGUGUGACGCCUGCCCGGUGCCGGAAGAUUAAAUGAUGGGGUGCAAGCUCUUGAUUGAAGUCCCGGUAAACGGCGGCCGUAACUAUAACGGUCCUAAGGUAGCGAAAUUCCUUGUCGGGUAAGUUCCGACCUGCACGAAUGGCGUAACGAUGGCCACACUGUCUCCUCCCGAGACUCAGCGAAGUUGAAGUGUUUGUGAUGAUGCAAUCUACCCGCGGCUAGACGGAAAGACCCCAUGAACCUUUACUGUAGCUUUGCAUUGGACUUUGAACCGAUCUGUGUAGGAUAGGUGGGAGGCUAUGAAACCGGAACGCUAGUUUCGGUGGAGCCGUCCUUGAAAUACCACCCUGGUUUGUUUGAGGUUCUAACCUUGGCCCGUGAUCCGGGUCGGGGACAGUGCAUGGUAGGCAGUUUGACUGGGGCGGUCUCCUCCCAAAGCGUAACGGAGGAGUACGAAGGUACGCUAGGUACGGUCGGAAAUCGUGCUGAUAGUGCAAUGGCAUAAGCGUGCUUAACUGCGAGACCGACAAGUCGAGCAGGUGCGAAAGCAGGUCAUAGUGAUCCGGUGGUUCUGUAUGGAAGGGCCAUCGCUCAACGGAUAAAAGGUACUCUGGGGAUAACAGGCUGAUACCGCCCAAGAGUUCAUAUCGACGGCGGUGUUUGGCACCUCGAUGUCGGCUCAUCUCAUCCUGGGGCUGUAGCCGGUCCCAAGGGUAUGGCUGUUCGCCAUUUAAAGAGGUACGUGAGCUGGGUUUAAAACGUCGUGAGACAGUUUGGUCCCUAUCUGCCGUGGGCGUUGGAUAUUUGAAGGGGGCUGCUCCUAGUACGAGAGGACCGGAGUGGACGAACCUCUGGUGUACCGGUUGUCACGCCAGUGGCAUCGCCGGGUAGCUAUGUUCGGAAGAGAUAACCGCUGAAAGCAUCUAAGCGGGAAACUCGCCUUAAGAUGAGAUAUCCCUGGGGACUAGAUCCCCUUGAAGGGUCGUUCGAGACCAGGACGUUGAUAGGUCAGGUGUGUAAGCGCAGUAAUGCGUUCAGCUAACUGAUACUAAUUGCCCGUAAGGCUUGAUCCU